UUGCCCCAGUAACGGCGAGUGAAGCGGCAACAGCUCAAAUUUGAAAUCUGGUCCCCAGGGCCCGAGUUGUAAUUUGCAGAGGAUGCUUUUGGUGAGGUGCCUUCCGAGUUCCCUGGAACGGGACGCCAUAGAGGGUGAGAGCCCCGUCUGGUUGGAUACCGAGCCUCUGUAAAGCUCCUUCGACGAGUCGAGUAGUUUGGGAAUGCUGCUCUAAAUGGGAGGUAUAUGUCUUCUAAAGCUAAAUAUUGGCCAGAGACCGAUAGCGCACAAGUAGAGUGAUCGAAAGAUGAAAAGCACUUUGAAAAGAGGGUUAAAUAGUACGUGAAAUUGUUGAAAGGGAAGCACUUAUGACCAGACUUGGCCCCGGUGAAUCAUCCAGCGGUUCCCGCUGGUGCACUUUGCCGGGGUUCAGGCCAGCAUCAGUUCGCUCCGGGGGAUAAAGGCUUUGGGAAUGUGGCUCCCUCGGGAGUGUUAUAGCCCAUUGCGUAAUACCUUGUGGCGGGCUGAGGUUCGCGCUUUAUGCAAGGAUGCUGGCAUAAUGGUCAUCAGUGACCCGUCUUGAAACACGGACCAAGGAGUCGUCUUCGUAUGCGAGUGUUCGGGUGUCAAACCCCUACGCGUAAUGAAAGUGAACGCAGGUGAGAGCCCUCCAGGGCGCAUCAUCGACCGAUCCUGAUGUUCUCGGAUGGAUUUGAGUAAGAGCAUACGGGGCCGGACCCGAAAGAAGGUGAACUAUGCCUGUAUAGGGUGAAGCCAGAGGAAACUCUGGUGGAGGCUCGCAGCGGUUCUGACGUGCAAAUCGAUCGUCAAAUAUGGGCAUGGGGGCGAAAGACUAAUCGAACCUUCUAGUAGCUGG
Molecule: ribosomal RNA, 856 nt
Filed under: Metarhizium sp. 2 DT-2012
Lineage: Eukaryota; Fungi; Ascomycota; Sordariomycetes; Hypocreales; Clavicipitaceae
Description: LSU rRNA
Rfam family: Eukaryotic large subunit ribosomal RNA
Source: RNAcentral